This 75-nucleotide microRNA precursor is filed under the name Myotis lucifugus (little brown bat). RNAcentral describes it as "mir-9229 microRNA precursor family". It matches the Rfam family "mir-9229 microRNA precursor family". Lineage: Eukaryota; Metazoa; Chordata; Mammalia; Chiroptera; Vespertilionidae. The record is from Rfam by way of RNAcentral.
AGACACCCUUCCGGGGCAGGACUUGCUUCAGUGGGGCUUUGGUGCUCACUGAGUCUGCCCCCUGAGUGUAUUCCU